Molecule: non-coding RNA, 269 nt
Organism: Pelobates cultripes (western spadefoot toad)
Lineage: Eukaryota; Metazoa; Chordata; Amphibia; Anura; Pelobatidae
Source: the annotation of a GenBank genome assembly
AUGAAACAGGAAGAGAUGGCACAACAUGAUCAGCAUGGGGCAAGUGAGAACAGCCGUUGGCACACCGCUCUGUCUUCCAGAGAGACUCAACUACCUACCCGAUUUGGUAUCUGCGCCCAGUGAACAUACCCACAAACUCUCAUAUGCUUACUCUGGUAUUAAUCGAAAUUAUGUUCAGCUGGUUAGCCGUUAUUAAUUUUUGUUUUCUCUACGAGCAGGGGGUGCAGGGGGUUCAAUCCUGUUCUAUUCAAGCUCUCUCUUUAUUUUAU